Non-coding RNA from Osmia lignaria (orchard mason bee), 987 nucleotides. Lineage: Eukaryota; Metazoa; Arthropoda; Insecta; Hymenoptera; Megachilidae. The record is from RefSeq and is a predicted model, not a curated record.
ACCUGGACGAUUUUUGUGGCGGGAAUUACGGUGCCUCGACAAGAUCCUAUACACAACAACGCUUUACCUCAGGAUCAGAAACCACCUGUCGGGAAAUAGCAUCAGAAAUUUCACUGGUAGAAACUUUACGUCAUUGCUACUAUAGACCAUAAAUCGACCAUAAAGAAUGUGAGACAGUGUUGCCAAAGCGAUGUAAAUCAUUGCAAUGCCAAGGUUGAGGUUCGACAUAAAAGGUAUCUUUCCAACAAAAUUGUAAGAAAUAUCUGUAUCAUUUUUAUCGCUUAUUUAUUUUUAUGGUUAUAUACGAAACAUACGUGAAACAAAUUAUUCAUAUGCAUAAGCUUAUUACAUUAUGGAAAUAAACAUCAUUAUUGACCUGAAAAUAUUGUUUAUAUAAAACUUUAAAUUGUAAUUACGUUGGAAGGAUAUUGUAGAUUGUAAAAAAUAGUGUUAUAUAAGAACAAUUAUACGUGAAUUUCAGUUGUAAUUCUUAUAACGAGUAGUUUUAUAAAUCUGGCAACAAUGCCGAAAGACGAUUACAGGGGUGGAGACCUCCCCUCUUGAAAGAAAGAAAGAAAGAAAGAAAGAAAGAAAGAAAGAAGGAAGGAAUAAGGGGAAGGAACAGCUUUUGAAAUCAUCAAAAUAGCUUGGCACCAACUUCGACAACGUGUACAAUUAGACGAAAAAUACGCAGCUUUUAUGCGAUUUAAAUUUAUGAAAUUUAUAUGUAAAAAUUCAUAAUUCAAAAUUAAUAUACCCCAUGUGAUCAUAUUUUUAAUUAAAACGAUUUUGUUUAAAGAAAAAUAUUUAAUGAUUCUGAGUGCAGAAAAAUAAAAUAAAAACUCACCUUUAAUUUAGAAGAUUCUCCAAUGAUAUACAUAUCCAAAAUGUUGUCACUAUUCCCAUAAUAUAUACCAAGUAUAUAUAAGGAUAAUAUGUAGACACAAGAUAAAUAAAAUUUUACUACAUUUAAUUUCUAUAACAGCA